RNAcentral lists this small RNA (694 nucleotides) under Vigna angularis var. angularis. RNAcentral's name for it is "Non-protein coding transcript". Lineage: Eukaryota; Viridiplantae; Streptophyta; Magnoliopsida; Fabales; Fabaceae. The record is from RNAcentral.
CUCCACCCAAAUCCGCAACUGCUCCAAAGCCAAUGGCGCCAGAGUUAUCUACAACGAUUGCUUCCUCAGGUACGAGAGCGAGAGGUUCUACCAACAGACCAACGAACUUGGCAGUGGGGUAACGUGUGGGAACACCAGUUUAAAAACCACUCGUGAUUUUAAAGUAGUUGGACAACAGGCACUCACGGAGAUUCAAACAGCAACACCUAAAACUAAAGGGUUUUAUGCAGCUACCAAGACACAGGUGGAUGAUGGUUCUGCAAUUUAUGCCAUUGCACAGUGUGUUGAAACUGCCGCAGAAAGUGAUUGUUUGAAAUGCAUGCAAGUUGCAUACAAUAACUUACAGAGUUGCCUUCCCAACACAGAUGGUACAGCAUAUGAUGCAGGCUGUUUUAUGAGAUACUCCACCACACCUUUCUUUGCUGCUAAUCAAACCAUUGAUAUUCGAUCCUACUUAAAACAAGGAAGUUCAGGAAAGAAGGGGGGAAUUAUAGGUGGUGUUGUAGGAGGUUUUGUUCUCCUCCUAAUUCUGUUCUUUGUCUGGAGGAUGUCUAGAAAAAGAAACAAGGUUCACAGAGGUGACAUAUUGGGAGCAACUGAGUUAAGAGGACCAGUUAACUACAAAUAUAAUGAUUUGAAAGCUGCAACUAAAAAUUUCAGUGCUGAAAAUAAACUUGGAGAAGGAGGUUUUGGU